Molecule: RNA transcript, 2226 nt
Organism: Mauremys mutica (yellowpond turtle)
Lineage: Eukaryota; Metazoa; Chordata; Testudines; Geoemydidae
Gene name: maestro heat-like repeat-containing protein family member 1
Exons: 13
Source: RefSeq, a predicted model, not a curated record
UCAAGACCAUCUGGAGAUUCCUAGGCGCAGACCCCACGCUGACCAGGGAGGUACUGCACAUCCUGCUGGAUGACAGCCCGGAGAAGGGCCAGGCUAAUGCUAGCCAGACCCGGACAGGAGCUGCCCCCAGCCAGCCUGGCUGCUCCCGGCGACCACAUGCAGCCUGUGGGAGCUGAUCGGGGCCCCGGGGCAAGCGGACACACUGGACGGACGCGAGGACAACCUGUUCGCCUCUUGCUUCCUCGCCAUCGCCUGCCCCCGGCACAGCACCUCUCGGGAGUCCAGCAGGACCUGCCCAGUGACACCAGUCCGUGCAGCAUGGCCGUGCAGGCCCUGGCGUGGGUGCUGCGCCUCAGGGGCAGUCAGCCAGCUGUGGAGCUAAUGGACCAGGAGCGAGGCUGGCAGCUGCUAGAGGAAGCCCAGCCUGAGAGGUUUGCUCUCCUUAGCAGGGCCAUAGUGACCCACCCAAACCGGGUCCUGAAGAGCAUCCCAUGGCUCCUCCUUCCCAGCCUCCAGGCCAGCCAGGAAGGCGAACACAUGGCCUGCACUGUCCUGUUCGCAGAGUUCCUCGGCAGCCCCCUGCUGAUGGAGAAUGAUCCCAAGGCCAUGUGGAAGCAGAUUGUGAAGGCCAUGCUGCAGCAGACAGAGGACAGCAACAUCCACAUUCGAGGCAGAGCGCUGCACGGCCUCAGGAACGCAGUGACCGAGUUCCCAGACAAGGUCAGGAAGAAGCGAGACCAGAUCCUGGGAAGCUUUGUCCACGCUGUGUGCAAAUCCUGUGACCCCCGCGUCAUUCUGGACACCAUGGAAGGGCUCUGCUGGAUGCUGCGGGACCCCAAGGCGCCUCUGAAGGUGCACGUUGCUGUCCCACUGGACCUGUAGGAGAACAGCGGCCUGAGGCGGGCCUCCAUGGAGCUCUUUGGCCACCUCAGCAAAUUUGUUUCCAAUAAGUCAUCCCUGUUUAGGGCUGAGGUGGAGAAGAGCAUGGGGAUGCUGCUCAUCCACCUACAGGACGGAGACCCCCAGGUGGUCCAGGCAUGCAGGUGGCAUUGCUGCGCUGCGCACCCUUCCUCGGCUACCAGCCCCUACGCCCGCUCGUGCAGAGCCAGCUGGCCAAGGGGGCGGGCCCACCAUCCCCACCUUCCUGAGCGAAGCCUGCAGGACCCUGCUCCAGGACUGCCCGGGGAGGCUGAGCGAGAAGGCUGCCCUGAGAGCAGCAGCUGCCCAGCAGCUGAUAGGAUACAUGAUGGACAAUUGAAGCCAGAGAAGAGCAGGAGGCUUGGACCGCCCACCCUGCUAGGCUGUUGGAGAGAGAUCUGUCCCAGACCAGUUCUCUUCUAGUAAUAGAGGUACCGUUGGGGCUUGAGUUAGCAGCAGAAGCGAUCCUGGACCAAGCUGAUAAUUUACAAAGAGGGAUUUCAGCUGCUGGGGACUACCCCAAGAGGAGAUUUGACCAAUCGGAGAGGAAUUCGGGGGCGGGAUGACCCAUCCGGAAGUGUUUUGUGUGACCCUUCUAAGAACUCCUCCCAUUGCCCUCUACCAAUCGCAAUGGGUUUUGGCUGCAUAGGACUUCCCCGAGCGCAGAUUUGACCAAAAUAGGGCAGGUUCUGGGACGGGGUGAACCGCCCAAAAGAGGUUGUGUGACUCCUCUAAGAACUCCUCCCAGCGCCCUCUGCCAAUCAGAGCGCAGUGCCAUCACCCUGUAAGUCCCAGGGCAGAAGAGGCCAUCUUUUACCAAGAAUGCAUGUUUUAGAAAUUGUGGAAACAUGGACUCCUUCACCACCGUCAUGAGAACUUCAGACUUUGUUUUAGUCCCAAGCACCUUUGGACUUGUGUGGAGAAAGCGCUCCAUCAGCAACAGUUCCAACGAGGGCCCUUUGACUCAACCAUUGAUGGAUACGCAGGAACCCGACCAUGAAACCCAAACCCUCCUGAGGUACCAUGAUGAGUGUGACGGCCUCUCAUUGUCCACCCCCCUAGAGGUGGAAGGCGAUCAUGGAUUGGAGGAGUCACCGGCGGACAAGGUGAAUGGAAAAGACGUCACUCAGCAGCUCAACAUUGCCUUUCUACAGGCCUCCCUGUGGGAGGAAGUAUAUCGUGCAUCAGCUGUUUUUGCUCAUGUCUGAGACACAGAUCUCAAGAGGAAAAUCUGGAAAAGGACAAAAUGGAAGAAUGAACCAGCUCAGACUCCAUUUUUACAGGCAGCUGUAAAAGGUUGUGUUAAAC